CAGCAGCCACGGUAAUACAGAGGGUGCAAGCGUUAAUCGGAAUUACUGGGCGUAAAGCGCGCGUAGGUGGUUUGUUAAGUCGGAUGUGAAAUCCCUGAGCUUAACUUAGGAAUUGCAUUCGAUACUGGGAAGCUAGAGUAUGGGAGAGGAUGGUAGAAUUCCAGGUGUAGCGGUGAAAUGCGUAGAGAUCUGGAGGAAUACCGAUGGCGAAGGCAGCCAUCUGGCCUAAUACUGACGCUGAGGUACGAAAGCAUGGGGAGCAAACAGGAUUAGAUACCCCGUGUAGUCCCUGUCUCUUAUA
RNAcentral lists this ribosomal RNA (301 nucleotides) under uncultured bacterium. RNAcentral describes it as "partial 16S ribosomal RNA". It matches the Rfam family "Bacterial small subunit ribosomal RNA", at positions 509 to 808 of the family's 1533-position model. The record is from RNAcentral.